Molecule: long non-coding RNA, 1579 nt
Organism: Pogoniulus pusillus (Red-fronted tinkerbird)
Lineage: Eukaryota; Metazoa; Chordata; Aves; Piciformes; Lybiidae
Exons: 5
Source: RefSeq, a predicted model, not a curated record
GCCGAGAGUUUGUCUAUUUUGCUUUAAAACAGGGAAAAGAAAAAUUGUGUGGAGCAGCCACCUGCUGCCCCGUGUCAUGCCUGGAGAAGAGCCUGGCGCAAAGCCCCGCUGCCGCACCCGGCCCCGAGCGGGGCUUGCAGGAGCUUUUAUUGUCCAUAAACAGAAAACCAGGAGCGGCCAGUAAUAAGAUCAGGAAAGGAGGUAUUAAACAAAAUAGCGCUCAGGCACCGCACGCUUAAAAUUGUGCUCUCAAAAGACACUUUCUGCCGAGCUGCAGUAAAGGUUUUAUUGGUAAUUGAGAAGCGACUCACACCCGCAGAUUUGGCAUUAAUGACCGCUUUAGUGGGUAGAAAUUACACUGCAUAGCUUGUGGACGAAACCCACCAGGAAAAGGGCACUGUGCGGUAAUAACAUUUACUAAAGGAGUUACUACCAAAUGAAUGUCUGGAUUUACGCUUCGGUUUGCCGAGUAAACUUUUGAGUAAGUAUGAAUGCAGGCCAAUAACUUUUAUAGAGGAAAGAAAAAUAUUUAAAGUCAGUAACUUCUCUAGUAGCUGAAAAGUAACUUCUGACAACAAAUGGGCUUUCCCUCAUCGUUGCAUCAAAGCAAUUUCUAUGCUUAAAAUUCACUCUGGAAAAGAUACUAUUUUUAAAAUAACAGCAUCAAUCAGGGCAAUUUCUCAGGUUUAGAAUAACAUUUCAAAACAAACCUCUGCUCAUGAGCAGUCAUGAGAUCAGAGCAUCUGUAGUGGUUUCUGGUUUGUGGGGUUUUUUUUGUUGUUGUUGGUUUUUGUUUUUGUUUUUGUUUUGUUUUUUUUUGGUCAGGAUUUUCACGUGUGCGGGGAGCACAGAAAUGUUAUUCUCUUCGGCAGAUCCUAAAGUUCAUCCUAUAAGAAUUUCAUUCUGAUCUGCUUGCUGUCAACCGAAGUAAUCGGUGAAAGGAACUGCCCGUUCUGGCUCUGUGCCUUCAGAUAGCACAUGCGUUACAGCUGUAAACAUCGUGUUUUCUGAAUGUGUCCAGCUCAUCCUUGUCCUCCAUCAGCACCAGACCUUUCAGGAGCAAAUGAUGGUAAUGGGAUCCACAUGGAAAAGACCCCUCGGGAGGGGGAGGUUAGGACAGGAGGAUCCUCCCGGCCCGUCGCCCUGGCAGGUGGAGCUUGGCUCGGCUCGGCGGGGAUGGAGGCUUUAAAACAAAUAAAGCAUUGAAUAGUACAUGUGUGGACAAGGAAUCCAUGGCAUGAACAAUACAACAAAUCUGAUGUAAUGCAAAGAUAGUAGUUGCAUGUCAAGAAUGCAUUAUCUGAAAAGAUUUGAGAAUACUGCUGUGUUGCAACUGGUAACAGUGGCAUUUAUUGGCUUAAACAGUAUGUGAGCCCUGUCAGAAGAAAAAAACCCACAAUAUAUCUGCCUGGAGGCUUUGUUCUCUCUGUUUGACAAUGGGAAUGGAGGAUAACUGGAAAUUAGGAGACAUGAAGAUUAACAAUUUGUACUCCUACAUCAAUGCAAAAUCAAAACCAGUAUCACUAAAACCAACAUAAAUACCAAUCAGAAAAUAAACAUUUGCUGUUUCAGAAGAAAA